Long non-coding RNA from Vespa crabro (European hornet), 2852 nucleotides. RefSeq lists it as uncharacterized. The record is from RefSeq and is a predicted model, not a curated record. The transcript is spliced from 3 exons. Lineage: Eukaryota; Metazoa; Arthropoda; Insecta; Hymenoptera; Vespidae.
AUGCAUUUUAAUUUUAAUUAAUGUGAUGAAAGAGAGUUACUAAUCACAAAAUAUUAAAAUGAAAAAUGAUUGUUUAAAAAAAGAGGUAUUUUAUUAUACUAUUGAGAAGAAUCCUUAAAUGAAAAAUGAAAAAAAUAAUAUUAAUCUUUUAUUAGUUGUAUUUCAGUAUGAAGGUAGUUUUUUCAUAUAAACUCAUACAGACAAAAGAGAAAAAAGAAAGUAAGACUACGAUUAAAUAUUAAAUUUAAUUAGAAAAGAACGUUUAACCGUUAAACCUCAUUUCAAACCGAGCUUACAUCACGAAGAAAGAUAUUUUUUCAAUGGAAUUACUAUUUUAAUACUGUAUUAUUGUUUCCGUAUUUUCACCAAUCUCACACUGAUUGUUUUGAAUGUCGCAAAUGGUAAUGAAUUUAAGAAGGUUUAUUCCACUUUUCCAUAAAAUAAGGAAUCAUUAUUUCGCUCAGAGAAAGAAGGAAAAAAUAUCGACGAGUCAAACCGAUGAAAAAAAAACUUACGUAUAUUUGAAAUUGUUACAUUAAAAAAAAUUGUAAAAUGCAAUUCCUGAACUUAUCCUUCCGAAUUGUUAGUGUGAUUUUUCCAAAUACUUCUACAGAUGAUAAUAAUUGAUUAUCUUGGUUAUAUUCAAUGUCGGCUAAAAGUUUAAUUCUUUUUUAUUUAAAAAUUAGAUUGUAUAUCGCAUAAAUUUGCAUUGCUAGCUCUAAAAAAAAAUAAAUCUAGUUUGAACAGGUGUAAAAAUAGUUGAAGCCUAUGUGCGUAUAUAGAUAUAUAUGAGUACAACAUUUGAAUUUUCAGUUUGCUUUAUGAUACCUAAUAUGAUAUAUAUCAUGGUAUUUUACGAGUAUUAUUAUGAAAAUACUUUACUACAAGCUUAAAAGAAACUUGAAUUUUAAUUUGCGUUUAACGUUGCAAAAUCAAGCGUUCAAUAGAAGAUAGAGGAGUAUUUCUCAUUUCCUCACAAACCUUGUCCAGUGGCUGCGCCGUAUAAAUACAUACAAUAUAUGAUCUUUGCAUUGCUUGUUAUUAUCUGUUGAACCAUUUCGCAUAACCAUUAUUGGGAAUAGUGUAUGCGACGCAAUUGAAUAGAAGAAAAUGCUUUUUUGUUCGUAAUGCUAUCGUAACAGCGAUUAUGUAAUCAAAUUCGAUAUAUGAAUUGACUCCUGAUAAAAGCCUAUUAAAUUUAUUAUUUAUAUUAUUGUCGUAGACAAUUUCGUUAUUGAUUUCAACCGAUUUUCAGAUUCGCUGUUUAUCGAAAAUUAAAAUAUUGAAAGCAUUUAGUGUUUGAUAUCGAUAUCAAUAAACUUGAUAGGACGUUCUCGUUACGAACGAUAAUCAUUAUACGAAAACUAUCGUCAAACAUUUCGCAUUACGCGUAAAUAUUAUUAUGUGGGCAUACGGUAUCAAAGCGAGCCGCGAAAAUAGAUCAAAAGAUAGUAAAAACAUAAAUACUUGCGCGUAUACAAAAAGAAAUUUUCACAAUGUUUAUAUUUCAUCACGACAUUACCUUUCAAAACGAAUUCAACAACCGUCAAUCUUUUCUAUUUCCUUUACAAAGAAAUUAAUCCGAUCAGUACGUGGUGCACAAUCUGGCUACAUAGUGUAGUAUAUUUAUGUAUUGCAUAUGUACAUAUAUACAUACUCACAUAAAAUUUACGGUUUUAUGAUUUUACGCAACGGAUUAAACAUAAUAUGAUUGCAUACUAUAAAGCAAAAAAAAAUACAUAAUUAUUAAAAAUAAAAAAAAAUAUUUGGAAAUUUGAAUGGAUUCAUAUCAAAUGGACGAAGGAACUCCUUAAUUGCCAAGAUAACUAUCCUGACGAAUAGCAGCACAUUUGUUUGUCUGAAGUAAUGAAUGUAGGUCAGACCGUUCGUUUGGUAUAGCUUUACUAAUUUACAUCAUUCGUUCUAUCAUAGGAAAUAGCAAUUGAAAAAAUCACGUAGUCACUCACGCAUUGCUGGUAUCAGCGCCAAUGGAAAGAGAGUAUGAGCCGGGACAUAGAGAGAAGCUGUAUCGAUUAGAGAGUUUGCCGGGGAUCCAACGAUAACUACCACCGACCCUACCGGGGAAUUCACAGGUUAACAUUGUGCAUGCCAUCGACGAAACAUAGUAGAAUGUCGAAGGAGGACAAUAAGGUUCAAGAUUUGCAUCGUAAGCGCGUAUCGGGAACGAUUGUAAGAGUGGCUGAGUACUUCUAACGAAGAUCCCGCCGGUUGGAAACGAUAAGGUUCCAUGGAGGCUCGUCGCUUUUAAUGAGCACUCGAAACUACGACGAAAGAGGUUUGUCCGCUUGACGUCGCGUUAUUUUAAAGUACAUUUUUACGAUGACUGAAGAAAAGAUGUACAAUAUAGGCCUUACACGAUCGAAACACGAAAAUGUUUUAACUUUCAAAUUAAAUGUCCAAGUAUAUCGAGUACGUCAAAGUGGUGUUUGUUUGUUGAAUUUUCUUUUCCAUAUGUCUUCUGUCAUUCAUGUGUUUUUAUAACUAGAUUACUCGUGGUUCUCGAUUUAUGUAACUAUUAAAAUUUGUACUAAUACUACUAAUUGUACAAAUUCUUAUAUUUUUUAUGUAUAUAAGGGUUACCAUAAUAGAACAAUUCUCUGGUGAUCGACGUUUUUUUGUCAAACGCCUUAUGUUUUAUAUUUAUCUUUGUUGUAUGUAAUAGUCUAUAUUAUUAUAUUUUAUUUUUUACAAUUAAUGUCUCCAACAUAUGAAUAUCAUUAUAUCUUACAAAAUGAUAUUUCCUCUUGUAAAAUAGAAAUAGAGGAAAUAAUAUUAUUAGUCUAAGAUGUAAGUGUAAUAAAUACUAAUAUAUAUCAAGUUACUAAUAUAUA